Molecule: ribosomal RNA, 467 nt
Filed under: uncultured bacterium
Lineage: Bacteria
Description: partial 16S ribosomal RNA
Rfam family: Bacterial small subunit ribosomal RNA
Source: RNAcentral
ACGAACGCUUGCGGCGUGCUUAACACCUUCAAGUCGAACGGAAAGGCCCUGCUUUUGUGGGGUGCUCGAGUGGCGAACGGGUGAGUAACACGUGAGUAACCUGCCCUUGACUUUGGGAUAACUUCAGGAAACUGGGGCUAAUACCGGAUAGGAGCUCCUGCUGCAUGGUGGGGGUUGGAAAGUUUCGGCGGUUGGGGAUGGACUCGCGGCUUAUCAGCUUGUUGGUGGGGUAGUGGCUUACCAAGGCUUUGACGGGUAGCCGGCCUGAGAGGGUGACCGGCCACAUUGGGACUGAGAUACGGCCCAGACUCCUACGGGAGGCAGCAGUGGGGAAUAUUGCACAAUGGGCGGAAGCCUGAUGCAGCAACGCCGCGUGCGGGAUGACGGCCUUCGGGUUGUAAACCGCUUUCGCCUGUGACGAAGCGUGAGUGACGGUAAUGGGUAAAGAAGCACCGGCUAACUACGUG